Molecule: ribosomal RNA, 370 nt
Filed under: uncultured organism
Description: partial 16S ribosomal RNA
Rfam family: Bacterial small subunit ribosomal RNA
Source: RNAcentral
GUAGGGUGCAAGCGUUAAUCGGAAUUACUGGGCGUAAAGCGUGCGCAGGCGGUUUUGUAAGUCUGACGUGAAAUCCCCGGGGCUCAACCUGGGAAUUGCGUUGGAGACUGCAAGGCUGGAGUCUGGCAGAGGGGGGUAGAAUUCCACGUGUAGCAGUGAAAUGCGUAGAGAUGUGGAGGAACACCGAUGGCGAAGGCAGCCCCCUGGGUCAAGACUGACGCUCAUGCACGAAAGCGUGGGGAGCAAACAGGAUUAGAUACCCUGGUAGUCCACGCCCUAAACGAUGUCUACUAGUUGUCGGGUCUUAAUUGACUUGGUAACGCAGCUAACGCGUGAAGUAGACCGCCUGGGGAGUACGGUCGCAAGAUUA